AUAAUCAAAACUUUUAACAACGGAUCUCUUGGUUCUGGCAUCGAUGAAGAACGCAGCGAAAUGCGAUAAGUAAUGUGAAUUGCAGAAUUCAGUGAAUCAUCGAAUCUUUGAACGCACAUUGCGCCCGCCAGCAUUCUGGCGGGCAUGCCUGUUCGAGCGUCAUUUCAACCCUCAAGCUCUGCUUGGUGUUGGGGCCCUACAGCUGAUGUAGGCCCUCAAAGGUAGUGGCGGACCCUCCCGGAGCCUCCUUUGCGUAGUAACUUUACGUCUCGCACUGGGAUCCGGAGGGACUCUUGCCGUAAAACCCCCCAAUUUUCCAAA
This 321-nucleotide unclassified non-coding RNA is filed under the name Colletotrichum gloeosporioides. RNAcentral's name for it is "partial contains ITS1, 5.8S rRNA and ITS2". The stretch from base 9 to 162 matches the Rfam family "5.8S ribosomal RNA". The record is from RNAcentral. Lineage: Eukaryota; Fungi; Ascomycota; Sordariomycetes; Glomerellales; Glomerellaceae.